GAUGAGGUCAGACAGAGAACAGGGAGCUGGUGAGUCAUGGUGAAGAUGUUGUCUUUUAGUGAGUGUGGCAGGAGCCACAGAAGGGAUUUGAGGAGGAGAAUGACAUCAUGUCACUUCUGUCAAAGGAUUCUGCUGCCAUAUGGGGACCUUUCUGUUGGGGACAAGGGCAGAAGCAGCGAGGAGGUGACUGCAAUUUUCCAGGUCCAUAAAAGCCCCAGGCUCCACCAGAGCAGGGCAGAGGGCAGAGGACAGAGAGACAAUGGGAUUACCACCUGCACAGAGGAGCUACCCUCUCUACUGAGAGCUUCAGAGACCUGCAGAGACGCCUACAUGACCUGCCUGCCGAGAGGAACCACCCUCUUCAGGGCCUCAUCUCUGCUGAGAGCUGAACACUCGAUGGGGUGACCUGCCUACUGAGAGGAGCUGCCCACUGACGGUCUCCUCUGAGCUGUUCUAAGACUAAAUAAAGCUCCUAUUCAUCUUCUUCACCCUU
This 493-nucleotide long non-coding RNA is filed under the name Homo sapiens (human). RNAcentral's name for it is "HSALNT0398329". The record is from RNAcentral. Lineage: Eukaryota; Metazoa; Chordata; Mammalia; Primates; Hominidae.